RNAcentral lists this ribosomal RNA (1051 nucleotides) under Oenococcus oeni. RNAcentral's name for it is "bacterial SSU rRNA". It matches the Rfam family "Bacterial small subunit ribosomal RNA", at positions 488 to 1533 of the family's 1533-position model. Lineage: Bacteria; Bacillati; Bacillota; Bacilli; Lactobacillales; Lactobacillaceae. The record is from RNAcentral.
AGGGAUGGCUAAAUACGUGCCAGCAGCCGCGGUAAUACGUAUGUCCCGAGCGUUAUCCGGAUUUAUUGGGCGUAAAGCGAGCGCAGACGGUUUAUUAAGUCUGAUGUGAAAUCCCGAGGCCCAACCUCGGAACUGCAUUGGAAACUGAUUUACUUGAGUGCGAUAGAGGCAAGUGGAACUCCAUGUGUAGCGGUGAAAUGCGUAGAUAUGUGGAAGAACACCAGUGGCGAAAGCGGCUUGCUAGAUCGUAACUGACGUUGAGGCUCGAAAGUAUGGGUAGCAAACGGGAUUAGAUACCCCGGUAGUCCAUACCGUAAACGAUGGGUGCUAGUUGUUAAGAGGUUUCCGCCUCCUAGUGACGUAGCAAACGCAUUAAGCACCCCGCCUGAGGAGUACGGCCGCAAGGCUAAAACUUAAAGGAAUUGACGGGGACCCGCACAAGCGGUGGAGCAUGUGGUUUAAUUCGAAGAUACGCGAAAAACCUUACCAGGUCUUGACAUACCAAUGAUCGCUUUUGUAAUGAAAGCUUUUCUUCGGAACAUUGGAUACAGGUGGUGCAUGGUCGUCGUCAGCUCGUGUCGUGAGAUGUUGGGUUAAGUCCCGCAACGAGCGCAACCCUUGUUAUUAGUUGCCAGCAUUUAGUUGGGCACUCUAAUGAGACUGCCGGUGAUAAACCGGAGGAAGGUGGGGACGACGUCAGAUCAUCAUGCCCCUUAUGACCUGGGCAACACACGUGCUACAAUGGGAAGUACAACGAGUCGCAAACCGGCGACGGCAAGCUAAUCUCUUAAAACUUCUCUCAGUUCGGACUGGAGUCUGCAACUCGACUCCACGAAGGCGGAAUCGCUAGUAAUCGCGAAUCAGCAUGUCGCGGUGAAUACGUUCCCGGGUCUUGUACACACCGCCCGUCAAAUCAUGGGAGUCGGAAGUACCCAAAGUCGCUUGGCUAACUUUUAGAGGCCGGUGCCUAAGGUAAAAUCGAUGACUGGGAUUAAGUCGUAACAAGGUAGCCGUAGGAGAACCUGCGGCUGGAUCACCUCCUUUCUAAGGA